CAGUCGCCGCGGUAAUACAGAGGGUGCAAGCGUUAAUCGGAUUUACUGGGCGUAAAGGGCGCGUAGGUGGUUAUUUAAGUGAGAUGUGAAAGCCCCGGGCUUAACCUGGGAACUGCAUCUUAUACUGGGUAACUGGAGUGCAGUAGAGGGUAGUGGAAUUUCCGGUGUAGCGGUGAAAUGCGCAGAUAUCGGAAGGAACGCCAGUGGCGAAGGCGGCUACCUGGACUGAGACUGACACUGAGGCGCGAGAGCGUGGGGAGCAAACAGGAUUAGAUACCCCGGUAGUCCCUGUCUCUUAUAC
RNAcentral lists this ribosomal RNA (301 nucleotides) under uncultured bacterium. RNAcentral describes it as "partial 16S ribosomal RNA". It matches the Rfam family "Bacterial small subunit ribosomal RNA", at positions 509 to 807 of the family's 1533-position model. The record is from RNAcentral.